AGUUCGGACUGGAGUCUGCAACCCGACUCCACGAAGUUGGAUUCGCUAGUAAUCGCGCAUCAGCCAUGGCGCGGUGAAUACGUUCCCGGGCCUUGUACACACCGCCCGUCAAGCCAUGGGAGCCGGGGGCGCCUGAAGUCCGGGACCGCGAGGACCGGCCUAGGGCGAAACUGGUGACUGGGGCUAAGUCGUAACAAGGUAGC
RNAcentral lists this ribosomal RNA (203 nucleotides) under uncultured bacterium. RNAcentral describes it as "partial 16S ribosomal RNA". It matches the Rfam family "Bacterial small subunit ribosomal RNA", at positions 1290 to 1500 of the family's 1533-position model. The record is from RNAcentral.